AUAAAAGUCUUGAUCCAAGCUGGAGUUGGAUUUUAUUCCCUAUAUAAAGCUGGCCCCAAUCCCUAAAAAGUGCAUUGAAGUCACUGCGGCAAUAGAGGGCGCCAUCAACAAGAUUAAUCCAAUCAUCAAAUCCAGUCUUCAGAAUUUUGGCAUUGUUACCCAGGCAACUUGUACAUUUUUCUUUUUAUAUAUUUAAUAAUGUUUUUAUUAGUUAUAUACUUUGGGGAAGUUGGGCUAUUAGUUUGGGAAAUUUUCCUUGAAAUAGGCCUAUACUUAUUUGAAAGAAAAUUUCCCAAACUUCACCCAUGCCAGAGCAUACACAAGUUCCCUUUCCCAUACAGACAUGCAGCUGCAUCGAAAUUGUUGAUUUCAAACAAAACACUUUUCAGAACUGAUUUCAUGCUUUGGUUCUGACGUCACCACCUAUCCAUAUACAAUGUAUGAGCAGUCCACCCUAGUUAUCUGGGUCUGUGUAAAUAAUCACGCCCACAGCUCUUUGCUCCUUUGUAAAGGGUACAAGCUUUACUUUGUACAGGUGUGGUGCUAAAGGCCACUGGACCAUGCCAUUGAGCAUAUUUACACCACAAUAAACUACAAAGAGAUGUCCUACCCUCCAUUUUUUUGGGUGGUGCUAAAUAAACAAAGUUGGGGAUUUUUCUGUUUUGGAGGAUUGGGUGUACUUGUAAUCAACUAAUUUGGCUUGUACCUUGUAUGCUCACACCCUGCACCCUGGUAGCCAUCGCUUGGGUGCAAGAUUGGCAAUGGAAUCGUUUGCAUCACACUGAUAUCUUCUUAGCGCAGUACACAAUCCAGUGACCAUUGUAAGUAAAGAGUAGCGUACACAUUUCAAAUAUAACAAACUAUUUUUGGGAAAAAUUGAUGACCUUUCAAAACUUACUGCAGUGCCCCUCCCAAUUUAAUGUUCUACGACCAAGCCUGCUCUUGUGUCCAAUCUUUAAACCCAUGAAAUCCAAGAAGCUGAGAAAGUAUUUGCCUGUGCAUCGAUGUGUGCGCAUUUCAAGUUCGGAUAGUGAAGUGUUCUCAAUGAUCUUGCUGUUCCAUGAUGAAUGACAUCCAACUUAACCAUGGUUUGAACACCGCCUCAAAACCAAGGCAGAUGGUGGGUUAAGAAUCUGAAACUGGCCAGCGCUAACUGUGUUCUGCAUGAAUGUGCUGGAGAAAUAGGCCACUCAAACUACAAGCUAGGCAGUACAGCCAAGCUAGAUGAAUAGCAACCAAUAAGAUAUCAAAAUCACAGUUGGCAUUGGCUGUUCUAAUAUAUACACUUGUGUCAAAUUUGAGGGUGCAUCAAAUAUUGGGUUGUAUCAUAAGUCUCAAAACUCCAAGGGUCUCAACUUGAAGUCUUGGUUCGGUCAAAUUAAAUUUGCUUCUCAAAAAUUACAUUUAAUUUAAAUUAUUAAACUGUUCACACUGCAUAGAAUGAUAAUGUAAUGUAAGCAUGGAGCUAUAAACAGGUUUGUUCGAAUUUAUACAGACAGUUUUAUUGACAUAAAAUGGCCCAGCCCCCUUGCUACGAAAUGACCAAGACGUAAGUGCAAGAAAGUAAAAAACAAUUAUGCAAGGGUGCUACACAAAUAUGCAACUAUCGCUCUGAAGCACUGACGUCUUGGGCAAAGACUACAUGGAAUGCUGAUCACCAAUACAAAAUAUCAAAACAUCUUAUCCCAAUGCAUAGAAACUCAUAUGCAACUUUGUUACUUUUUUUCAAUAUGGUGCUUGAAUUUUAAACAAAAAAUACACAAUUAGACCUUGUAAACUGACAGUUUAAGAUGAGCAAUCUGAAAGAGUGAUCCAGUUCUUGGGUUUACAUAUAAAAGCUAUUUACAAAACUUAUUCUCCUCUAAAUCAGGCCAGUUCCUCAAAUAAGAUCAGCCCCACCAGAUCCAAAAAGAAAGGUACAUUUUCACUACAAGAGCCUGAUUUCUCAAUCCAUCUGCUAUAUUUCUUCAGUACCAGGCUUGUCAAAAGUAUCUAUUUGAGACAGUCAUGCAAACGUAAUGUUUGAAAAUAUUUGAAAUUUACAAAGGAAAUUUAAGUUUUAAAUGUUAAUACAGCAAGUUAAUCAAAAGCUAUUAUACCAUAAAUGAUUCUUAUGGUAAGAAACAUUGUAAAAUCUGUGUACAAUUAUGUGACACUGGGAUGCACCCUAUCACCAGUCGGAGGACCAAGCUUAUGGAAAAGGUAUAGCCCAAUUUUUAAGUACUUGUUUAAAAUCAAUAUAGUUGAUUUACAGCAUAUUUUGUUCAACUGUGUUGGUAUAUGAGGAUUAAAUGCUGCUCUAAUAAAUGUGCACCCAGAACCAUAUUUCUAACUUGAGCAUUAUUCAUAUUACAUUGUAAAAAAAA
Patiria miniata (bat star) is the source of this 2366-nucleotide long non-coding RNA. RefSeq lists it as uncharacterized. Lineage: Eukaryota; Metazoa; Echinodermata; Asteroidea; Valvatida; Asterinidae. The record is from RefSeq and is a predicted model, not a curated record. The transcript has 2 exons.